This 434-nucleotide ribosomal RNA is filed under the name uncultured Coprococcus sp. Its description in RNAcentral is "partial 16S ribosomal RNA". It matches the Rfam family "Bacterial small subunit ribosomal RNA", at positions 341 to 792 of the family's 1533-position model. The record is from RNAcentral. Lineage: Bacteria; Bacillati; Bacillota; Clostridia; Lachnospirales; Lachnospiraceae.
ACGGAAGGCAGCGGUGGGGAAUAUUGCACAAUGGGCGCAAGCCUGAUGCAGCGACGCCGCGUGAGUGAAGAAGUAUUUCGGUAUGUAAAGCCCUAUCAGCAGGGAAGAUAAUGACAGUACCUGACUAAGAAGCUCCGGCUAAAUACGUGCCAGCAGCCGCGGUAAUACGUAUGGAGCAAGCGUUAUCCGGAUUUACUGGGUGUAAAGGGAGCGUAGGUGGUGUGGCAAGUCAGAUGUGAAAGCCCGGGGCUUAACCUCGGGACUGCAUUUGAAACUGCCAUACUAGAGUGCAGGAGAGGUAAGUGGAAUUCCUAGUGUAGCGGUGAAAUGCGUAGAUAUUAGGAGGAACACCAGUGGCGAAGGCGGCUUACUGGACUGUAACUGACACUGAGGCUCGAAAGCGUGGGGAGCAAACAGGAUUAGAUACCCUGGUA